Molecule: ribosomal RNA, 253 nt
Filed under: uncultured bacterium
Lineage: Bacteria
Description: partial 16S ribosomal RNA
Rfam family: Bacterial small subunit ribosomal RNA
Source: RNAcentral
UACGUAGGCAGCAAGCGUUGUUCGGAAUUACUGGGCGUAAAGAGUGUGUAGGCGGUGCUCUAAGUUUGGUGUGAAAUCUCCCGGCUCAACUGGGAGGGUGCGCCGAAAACUGGAAUGCUUGAACAUGGGAGAGGAAAGCGGAAUUCCUGGUGUAGCGGUGAAAUGCGUAGAUAUCAGGAGGAACACCUGCGGUGUAGACGGCUUUCUGGACCAUUGUUGACGCUGAGACACGAAAGCGUGGGUAGCGAACAGG